Molecule: ribosomal RNA, 301 nt
Filed under: uncultured bacterium
Lineage: Bacteria
Description: partial 16S ribosomal RNA
Rfam family: Bacterial small subunit ribosomal RNA
Source: RNAcentral
CAGCCGCCACGGUAGUACGAAGGGGGCUAGCGUUGUUCGGAAUCACUGGGCGUAAAGCGCACGUAGGCGGACUUUUAAGUCAGGGGUGAAAUCCCAAGGCUCAACCUUGGAACUGCCUUUGAUACUGGAAGUCUUGAGUUCGGGAGAGGUGAGUGGAAUUCCCAGUGUAGAGGUGAAAUUCGUAGAUAUUGGGAAGAACACCAGUGGCGAAGGCGGCUCACUGGACCGACACUGACGCUGAGGCGCGAAAGCGUGGGGAGCAAACAGGAUUAGAUACCCGCGUAGUCCCUGUCUCUUAUAC